GCUGCUGGAGGUGCGGAACCUGACCGUCACGUACGGAGGGACCGUCCCGGCCGUACGGGGCGUCGACCUCCGGGUCGAGGCCGGGCAGAAGCUC
RNAcentral lists this transfer RNA (94 nucleotides) under Streptomyces cavourensis. Its description in RNAcentral is "tRNA-Arg". The record is from RNAcentral. Lineage: Bacteria; Bacillati; Actinomycetota; Actinomycetes; Kitasatosporales; Streptomycetaceae.